This 74-nucleotide transfer RNA is filed under the name Clostridia bacterium. Its description in RNAcentral is "tRNA-Gly". It matches the Rfam family "tRNA". From Rfam's summary of the family: Transfer RNA (tRNA) molecules are approximately 80 nucleotides in length. Their secondary structure includes four short double-helical elements and three loops (D, anti-codon, and T loops). Lineage: Bacteria; Bacillati; Bacillota; Clostridia. RNAcentral also lists the same sequence under 1 other name. The record is from RNAcentral.
GCGGGUGUAGUUUAGUGGUAGAAUUCUAGCCUUCCAAGCUAGUCGUGUGGGUUCGAUUCCCAUCACCCGCUCCA